RNAcentral lists this small RNA (2253 nucleotides) under Lupinus albus (white lupine). Its description in RNAcentral is "hypothetical ncRNA". Lineage: Eukaryota; Viridiplantae; Streptophyta; Magnoliopsida; Fabales; Fabaceae. The record is from RNAcentral.
GGGCUUGAACAUGCAACUUGCUUUCGAAGACGCUAGGAUUACUGGAUUUGGAUUCCUCUGCUUGUUGUGAUGAAUGGGUUUGUUAAAUCAGGUUGUAUUGACUGCUUGUGUGUGUAGAAUAGCUGAUCUCUGAUUGCUAUGGUAUGUGGUUUACGCGUAUGUUAUGUUUUUUGUUGUGGUGACUUGCAUAGUAUGUGGGAUAUGUGUCAUGAUGCUCUCUGCUUGAUGUAUGUAGUCUGUGAGGAAGUAUUAUUCCUGCCUGCUUCAGUGUGAGGCGUAUUGAUGAUUUGUUGUGGUGUUUUGUGAUAUGAUGGAAUUGUGAGUGUAUGCUAUGUUGUAGAUGCAUAUAUAUGUAUUCCGAUGAGAUAUGUGUGAUAGGUAGAUGAAUGAUAUAUUGCUUUUUGACUUGUUAUAUGAUCUGGGUAUGAUGUAUAGCAGCUGUUCUGACAUGUGUGUUAGGUGGGAGUGUUUGUGAAGUAUAUCAUCUCUCUCCCUUUUCUUCUUGAAUUGUCUCUCCUUUUAUAUUGCCUCUGACUAACCUCUUGGGUUGCCAAUUGAUAACCCUCUGGACUGCCCUUGAUUACUACACAUUACCUUCUUUAUGAGUAUUAUCAAUGCUUAACUAUUUGUAACUGAGUCAGACUUUUGGUAUUUUCUGAUUAUUCUCCUUUUAACUGCCCACUUUUGCUCUUUAAUAAAGUGUAACUGAAAUGCCAACAACCAUGAUUUUAUAUCUCCUUAAUAAGUUUUCAUGGGUAAUUUUCCUUAUUUCUAGGUAAACAUUGCAUCUUUAACUGGACUGACAUUGUCAUUUUUGAUAUGAUUACUUGUUGUCUUCUGACUUUUUCCUCAUGGUUGUUUAUUUUCCUUUGUAUUAACUCCAUAUUUGCUUUGUUAGUGCAUUCUAGUUAUCUGUUUUGAAAUCUUUGGCAUCGUGUGAUCAUUUUGAUUGCUCCACUAAUGUGUAACUUAAAGGAUAUGCCAUUUGACUUGCUUCUUUUUGCAACUCACGAUUGAAUCACUCUCCCUCUAUCUCUUUCUUUUUGCUUUUCAAUAUUGAUCCACACCAUGACUAUUGGCUAGAUGCAUAUUUGUUUUGCUAUCUUACUCAUCUUGAUCAUUCUAUUAUGUCACUUUACUGCUUUGCUGAAUUAAACAGUGUGAACUUGGCAUUUUAUGGCUUCCUUUGGUGAUGUCUCUUAAACUAUCCUCUCUUACCAUACGCUUGAGUCCAGAUUAUUCUUCAACCAUCAUGAGUUCUCCACCCUUUCUACCAUGACAGUGGGUAAGUGCUGUUUGCUUGCCUUUUUCCCUUGAAUAUCAAUGCUUUUGGGAGAUUUGCUCUGAACAAGCUGCUAAUUUAUCGUUUGUAUGUGUGCCAUUGCAGAUUGAGAUUAUCACUAGCCUCUCCAUGCAUCCUGUUACGGCCAACAACCUUAUAACAAGUCCAGUCCCUCCUUACAAAGCUCAUCACUAUGGUGUAGGUUGAUUUUCCAACUAUGAAGAUGGUGCGUGAAAGUGGAGGCUGCACUAGCGGACUUGUUGCUGCCCGUAGGCUUAGGUCUCCUUUCAGUGUCUAAAAUUAUAUUUGGCUUGCUGCUCAUCUAGCACUAGGACUUUUUGUAUAUGCUCCAUUUUAUGACCAUUGGUGUCAAAGAAUUGGAUUGACUGAACGAGGCUAAUGAUAUUAAAAAAAAUAGUUUUAUUGCAUAUGUAACAACAUAGGACUUGUUUUGUUAUGGUUUUGAAGAAGACAUGAUAUUGAACUAUUUAUUAAUAUUCGAAGAUAAAUGCGGCCAGACAAAAUUGAGUGUUCACAAAGAAGAAGCAAAUUUAGUUUGAUAGUAUUUCAUUAAUCCAUAUUUCACUCCAUUGAAUACUCAAGGAGCAGUUUACAACAAAGUAACUAUUAUUUAAUAGAGAAAAACAGAGAAGAUUCAGAGAGAAUAGAGAGAGUUUCCACUAGAUAUUUCUCCCCUCCUUUUGUGCUCCUUUGUCUCUAUAUAUAAUCACGUAAACGUGAAUUCUCUUGCCUGGUUCUGUUGCUACGCCUCAGCCCCUGAUUUUGAGGAUCCGUAACUGUAUUCUCUUUCCUUGUUGAUUCAGCAUGUGGAUUUGUUGGGGUAUGAGCUGAGCUCUUUGUGAUUUUGCUGGUAUGAGGGCUGAUUGAGCAUUUCCAUUUGUUACAGUCAACUGAUGUCUCCGAAGCAAGAAUGAUGGGUUGUUCUUGCUUAAUCUUUGAUCUAGAUUUCU